This 253-nucleotide ribosomal RNA is filed under the name uncultured bacterium. RNAcentral's name for it is "partial 16S ribosomal RNA". It matches the Rfam family "Bacterial small subunit ribosomal RNA", at positions 524 to 776 of the family's 1533-position model. The record is from RNAcentral.
UACGUAGGGGGCAAGCGUUGUCCGGAUUCAUUGGGCGUAAAGAGCGUGUAGGCGGCCAGGUAGGUCUGCUGUGAAAACUCGAGGCUCAACCUCGAGAUGUCGGCGGAAACCAUUUGGCUAGAGUCCGGAAGAGGAAAGUGGAAUUCCUGGUGUAGCGGUGAAAUGCGUAGAUAUCUGGAGGAACACCGGUGGCGAAGGCGGCAUCCUGGACCAUUACUGACACUGAAAAGCGAAAGCCAGGGGAGCAAACGGG